Molecule: ribosomal RNA, 196 nt
Filed under: Lithobates okaloosae (Florida bog frog)
Lineage: Eukaryota; Metazoa; Chordata; Amphibia; Anura; Ranidae
Description: Rana okaloosae (Florida bog frog) partial 16S ribosomal RNA
Rfam family: Bacterial large subunit ribosomal RNA
Source: RNAcentral
CUCUUGAUAAAACAUAAGAGGUCCAGCCUGCCCAGUGACAAAGUUCAACGGCCGCGGUACCCUAACCGUGCGAAGGUAGCAUAAUCACUUGUCCUUUAAAUAGGGACUUGUAUCAACGGCACCACGAGGGCUAUACUGUCUCCUUUCUCCAAUCAGUGAAACUGAUCUCCCCGUGAAGAAGCGGGGAUUCUACUAU